UGAAUACGAGACGCUAAGGCGUCGAAGUAGUGUAUGUCAUACUUCCAAGAAAAGCUUGCACUGUCAUAGAUAAAAAACGCCUGUACCAUAACCGACACAGGUGGGUAGGUAGAGUAUACUAAGGGGCGCGAGAUAACUCUCUCUAAGGAACUCGGCAAAAUAACUCCGUAACUUCGGGAGAAGGAGUGCCUUAUUUUUAAGGCUGCAAUAACAAGAUCCAAGCAACUGUUUAUCAAAAACACAGGUCUCCGCUAAGUCGUAAGACGAUGUAUGGGGGCUGACGCCUGCCCAGUGCCAGAAGGUUAAAGAAGUUGGUUAGCUUUUGCGAAGCUGAUAACUGAAGCCCUGGUGAACGGCGGCCGUAACUAUAACGGUCCUAAGGUAGCGAAAUUCCUUGUCGGGUAAGUUCCGACCCGCACGAAAGGCGUAAUGAUUUGGAUACUGUCUCGGAGAGGGGCUCGGUGAAAUAGACUUGUCUGUGAAGAUGCGGACUACCUGCACCAGGACAGAAAGACCCUAUGAAGCUUUACUGUAACUUGAAAUUGAAAUUGGACUUUAUUCGCGCAGCAUAGGUGGGAGGCGUUGAUUAUAAUCUCGUGGGAUUAUUGGAGCCAUCAGUGAGAUACCACUCUUGUAAUGUUAGAUUUCUAACUUUGAAUCAUUAUCUGGUCAAAGAACAGUUUCAGGCGGGCAGUUUGACUGGGGCGGUCGCCUCCUAAACGGUAACGGAGGCGUACAAAGGUUUCCUCUGAACGGUUAGAAAUCGUAUCUAGAGUGUAAAGGCAUAAGGAAGCUUGACUGUGAGACCUACAAGUCGAGCAGGGACGAAAGUCGGUCUUAGUGAUCUGACGGUACUGAGUGGAAAGGCCGUCACUCAACGGAUAAAAGUUACUCUAGGAUAACAGGCUGAUCUCCCCCAAGAGUUCACAUCGACGGGGAGGUUUGGCACCUCGAUGUCGGCUCAUCGCAUCCUGGGGCGGUAGUACGUCCCAAGGGUUGGGCUGUUCGCCCAUGAAAGCGGUACGCGAGCUGGGUUCAGAACGUCGUGAGACAGUUCGGUCCAUAUCCGGUGUAGGCGUUAGAAUAUUGAGAGGAGCCUUCUUUAGUACGAGAGGACCGAGAAGGACAUACCUCUGGUGUACCAGUUAUCGUGCCAACGGUAAACGCUGGGUAGCUAUGUAUGGAGUGGAUAACCGCUGAAAGCAUCUAAGUGGGAAGCCCACCUCAAGAUAAGUAUUCUCA
RNAcentral lists this ribosomal RNA (1242 nucleotides) under metagenome. RNAcentral's name for it is "bacterial LSU rRNA". It matches the Rfam family "Bacterial large subunit ribosomal RNA", at positions 1564 to 2816 of the family's 2925-position model. The record is from RNAcentral.